RNAcentral lists this ribosomal RNA (406 nucleotides) under uncultured bacterium. Its description in RNAcentral is "partial 16S ribosomal RNA". It matches the Rfam family "Bacterial small subunit ribosomal RNA", at positions 29 to 526 of the family's 1533-position model. The record is from RNAcentral.
AUUGAACGCUGGCGGCAGGCCUAACACAUGCAAGUCGAGCGAGCGGCGGACGGGUGAGGAAUGUCUGGGAAACUGCCUGAUGGAGGGGGAUAACUACUGGAAACGGUAGCUAAUACCGCAUACCAUCAGAUGUGCCCAGAUGGGAUUAGCUAGUGGGUGGGGUAACGGCUCACCUAGGCGACGAUCCCAAGCUGGUCUGAGAGGAUGACGAUCCACACUGGAACGGAGAAACGGUCCAGACUCCUCCGGGAGGCACGAGUGGGAAAUAUUGCACAAGGGGCGCAAGCCUGAUGAAGCCAGGCCGCGGAUGUGAAGAAGGCCUUCGGGUUGUAAAGCACUUUCAGCGGGGAGGCGUUACCCGCAGAGGAAGCACCGGCUAACUCCGUGCCAGCAGCCGCGGUAAUUC